GAUGAACGCUAGCGGCAGGCUUAACACAUGCAAGUCGAGGGGUAACAGGGAUUGCUUGCAAUCCGCUGACGACCGGCGCACGGGUGCGUAACGCGUAUACAAUCUGCCUUACACUGGGGGAUAGCCUUUAGAAAUGAAGAUUAAUACCCCAUAGAAUGUUAGUAUCGCAUGGUACAUACAUUAAAGGUUACGGUGUAAGAUGAGUAUGCGUCCUAUUAGCAAGUUGGUGAGGUAACGGCUCACCAAAGCGACGAUAGGUAGGGGCCCUGAGAGGGGGAUCCCCCACACUGGUACUGAGACACGGACCAGACUCCUACGGGAGGCAGCAGUGAGGAAUAUUGGACAAUGGGCGAGAGCCUGAUCCAGCCAUGCCGCGUGCAGGAGACUGCCCUA
RNAcentral lists this ribosomal RNA (393 nucleotides) under uncultured bacterium. Its description in RNAcentral is "bacterial SSU rRNA". It matches the Rfam family "Bacterial small subunit ribosomal RNA", at positions 28 to 418 of the family's 1533-position model. The record is from RNAcentral.